GCUGGGUCGGCUGGGUCAUAAACCAACAGAUCCAAAGUACACCUAGAAAUCAAACAGGUCGAAUAGGGCCAGAGCAUAAUCCAAUAAAUCUAAUUCAACCAGAAACAUGGAAUGGAUCCGAUUUUGAAACUCGAUUUGGCCUUACAAAUCCUUUAAAACGAUUGUGUGUAAGCUGGUGUGAUUUGAUUGGGUCAUGGAUUGAUCUGACCC
This 210-nucleotide long non-coding RNA is filed under the name Elaeis guineensis (African oil palm). RNAcentral's name for it is "long non-coding RNA (EGUI_LNC000316)". The record is from RNAcentral. Lineage: Eukaryota; Viridiplantae; Streptophyta; Magnoliopsida; Arecales; Arecaceae.